AGAAUGUGGACCUAAUAAUAGAAGUUUGACUCUUCUUAGUGACCGA
This 46-nucleotide transfer RNA is filed under the name Carlia amax. Its description in RNAcentral is "partial tRNA-His". The record is from RNAcentral. Lineage: Eukaryota; Metazoa; Chordata; Lepidosauria; Squamata; Scincidae.